UGACAUUUUGUUUCAGUUAAACUCAUCCUUCUCUGUCUUUAGAGUAUUAGAAGACCAAAGUUUGACCCAAUCUUAUGGAAAGACAUUUGUGAUUCUUCAUUGCUUUUCCUCAUGAUAUUCCUUUCCUCCUGUGCAGGGUACCCACUACUCACACCCAAUCUGAUCUCCCAGUGGGAACAAGAGGAGGAACUGCAGACAGUGAAGACAGAACUUAUCCAGGGCAUCUGUAUGGAGCAGCACCAGGAAGGUUUUGAGUCUCUACUUAAUACUAAGGAAUUAGUUGCUCUUCAAGAUAACAAUGGAGAAAAAAUAUCCAAUGAACAGAAAAUAGUGAGAAUCAAAAGAAAUGGUUCCUGCUCCUCUAUUUUACAUGAAAACCAGGACACCCAUCAUGUGGAUGAUUGGAACAAAAGCCAUGAGAAAGGACUAAGGUGAGUGCCCUUCAUAUAAGAGAAGGUAGUGCAUCAGGAAACAAUUUUGAGAUUUAAGAAACAUAUUUUGGGGUUGGGGUUUUGGCUCAGUGGCAGGCAGAGUGCUUGCUUCCCAUAUGUGAGGACUGGGUUCAAUCCUCAGCAUCACAUAAAAAUGAAUAAAUGAAAUAAAG
Molecule: long non-coding RNA, 604 nt
Filed under: Ictidomys tridecemlineatus (thirteen-lined ground squirrel)
Lineage: Eukaryota; Metazoa; Chordata; Mammalia; Rodentia; Sciuridae
Description: lncRNA (ENSSTOG00000030273.1)
Source: RNAcentral